Small nucleolar RNA from Gorilla gorilla gorilla (western lowland gorilla), 128 nucleotides. The record is from Ensembl. Lineage: Eukaryota; Metazoa; Chordata; Mammalia; Primates; Hominidae.
UAGCACUGUUGCCUGAGCCAUUGGUGCUCCCUGGUACUAGCUCAGUUUUAAUGCAGUGCAAUAGGAAUUCUUUGUUUCCACAAGGCCUUGUCCUGCUGUGGGCUGCUCCUUCCCACAGUUGGACCUUG